RNAcentral lists this ribosomal RNA (758 nucleotides) under uncultured bacterium. Its description in RNAcentral is "bacterial SSU rRNA". It matches the Rfam family "Bacterial small subunit ribosomal RNA", at positions 1 to 803 of the family's 1533-position model. The record is from RNAcentral.
UUCGCCCUUAGAGUUUGAUCCUGGCUCAGAACGAACGCUGGCGGCAGGCUUAACACAUGCAAGUCGAACGCCCCUUUCGGGGGGAGUGGCAGACGGGUGAGUAACACGUGGGAACGUACCUCUUUGUUCGGAAUAACUCAUGGAAACGUGAGCUAAUACCGGAUACGCCCUUUUGGGGAAAGAUUUAUCGCAGAGAGAUCGGCCCGCGUCUGAUUAGCUAGUUGGUGAGGUAAUGGCUCACCAAGGCGACGAUCAGUAGCUGGUCUGAGAGGAUGAUCAGCCACACUGGGACUGAGACACGGCCCAGACUCCUACGGGAGGCAGCAGUGGGGAAUAUUGGGCAAUGGGGGCAACCCUGAUCCAGCCAUGCCGCGUGAGUGAUGAAGGCCUUAGGGUUGUAAAGCUCUUUUAUCCGGGAAGAUAAUGACUGUACCGGAAGAAUAAGCCCCGGCUAACUUCGUGCCAGCAGCCGCGGUAAUACGAAGGGGGCUAGCGUUGUUCGGAAUCACUGGGCGUAAAGGGCGCGUAGGCGGAUGAUUAAGUCAGGGGUGAAAUCCCGGGGCUCAACCUCGGAAUUGCCCUUGAUACUGGUUGUCUUGAGAUUGGAAGAGGUAAGUGGAAUUGCGAGUGUAGAGGUGAAAUUCGUAGAUAUUCGCAAGAACACCGGUGGCGAAGGCGACUUACUGGUCCAUAUCUGACGCUGAGGCGCGAAAGCGUGGGGAGCAAACAGGAUUAGAUACCCUGGUAGUCCACGCCGU